RNAcentral lists this ribosomal RNA (404 nucleotides) under Fusobacteriota bacterium. RNAcentral describes it as "Fusobacteria bacterium partial 16S ribosomal RNA". It matches the Rfam family "Bacterial small subunit ribosomal RNA", at positions 355 to 776 of the family's 1533-position model. The record is from RNAcentral. Lineage: Bacteria; Fusobacteriati; Fusobacteriota.
UGGGGAAUAUUGCACAAUGGAGGGAACUCUGAUGCAGCGACGCCGCGUGAGUGAUGAAGGACUUCGUUUCGUAAAACUCUGUUCUAUGGGAAGAAAAGGACUGUACCAUAGGAGAAAGCUCCGGCUAAAUACGUGCCAGCAGCCGCGGUAAUACGUAUGGAGCGAGCGUUGUCCGGAAUUAUUGGGCGUAAAGGGUGCGCAGGCGGCUUUACAAGUUGGAUGUGAAAUAUUGUGGCUCAACCACAAACGUGCAUCCAAAACUGCAAAGCUUGAGUUAAGGAGAGGUAAGUGGAAUUCCUGGUGUAGCGGUGGAAUGCGUGGAUAUCAGGAGGAGUACCGGUGGCGAGGGCGACUUACUGGACUUAAACUGACGCUCAGGCACGAAAGCGUGGGGAGCAAACAGG